CCGGGGGAGCCCGGGCUGGAGCCGCCGGGGCCGGGCCGGGCCUGUCCCUGGGGGGCCGGUGCGGUUCCCCGCCCGCGGGGCGGAUCGGGGUGUCCGUGCCCCCGGGUCCUCCCGGAGCUCCCCGGGAAGGGCCGUUCCCUUCGCGCCCCGCCCAUGGGGUGACACCCCCAGAAAACCCACAGAGAGGGGUGAAAACCCCACAGAAUGGGGUGGAACCCCCCAGAAAACCCCCACAGGUGGGAGUGACCCCACAAAAGACCCCACAGAAAGGGGCGACCCCCCAAAAUAACCCCCACAGGUGGGGUGAACCCCCAAAAUAACCCCACAG
This is a long non-coding RNA of Columba livia (rock pigeon), 328 nucleotides long. RefSeq lists it as uncharacterized. The record is from RefSeq and is a predicted model, not a curated record. Lineage: Eukaryota; Metazoa; Chordata; Aves; Columbiformes; Columbidae. The transcript is spliced from 2 exons.